Molecule: RNA transcript, 1308 nt
Organism: Episyrphus balteatus (marmalade hoverfly)
Lineage: Eukaryota; Metazoa; Arthropoda; Insecta; Diptera; Syrphidae
Gene name: elongation of very long chain fatty acids protein 7-like
Exons: 3
Source: RefSeq, a predicted model, not a curated record
UUGCGAUACCUAAUAUCAACUUCUUAAAUCUAGGGACUGUAGUUGUUUUUCCUUCAACUAACAAAGUGCUCGCAAAUUUUUUUUGUAUUUAAAAUUUUAUAGUGAGUUGGAUUGAAAAUGUCAAAUUUCAUAGAAAAGUACUUUGAUGUGACCCCAGAUCCAAGAUCACCAGAAUAUUUUUUUAUUGGAUCUCUAAAGCAAACGACCUUACUUCUAGUAUUUUAUGCAUUUUUUGUUAAAAUAUUGGGCCCUAGACUGAUGAAAAACAGAAAGCCUUAUGAGUUAAAAACUAUCAUAAGAAUUUACAACAUAUCUCAAAUAUGCAUAAACGGUUAUUUGACUAUUGCGGGUUCAUAUUUGUUUUUUGUGCAUUCCAAAAUGAACGGACGAUGUUUUACGGUAGAUGAAAGUGACCCAAAAAGGGAAAAAUUCCACUUGAUGUUAAGUUACUCGUAUUGCUUAGUAAAAUUUCUGGAUUUAUUAGACACAAUUUUCUUCGUGCUAAGGAAGCGUUACAAACAGGUGUCUUUUCUACAUUUUUAUCAUCAUUUCAUUGUGGCUUUAGUAGGACCUGCAGUCUUUCGAUUUGUACCCAACGGUCACAUGAAUGGUAUGGGCUUGGUUAACACUUUUGUUCAUACCGUUAUGUACUUUUACUAUUUUCUUUCAAAUCUAUCACCGGGUAUAAAGAAUUCUUUGUGGUGGAAAAAAUACAUAACAAUUAUACAGCUACUACAAUUUGUAUUCUUAACUGGAUACUUCUUGUAUCCCUUGUCUAAUGGGGAGCUUUGUGGCUAUCCAUUUAAAUUUUUAUAUUUUGCACUAGCUCAAAAUUUUCUUUUCAUGAGUAUGUUUAGUAAUUUCUUUUACGUAACUUAUUGUAAGAAACCAAAACAGAAAGUCAAUUAAAUUAAAAAAACUUUUUAAUAUAAAAAUAAAAAAUAGUUUCCUUGGUAUUUGUUAAGAGCUGCAUCUUUGUAAGAGCAUCUCGAAAAAAUUGUAAUUCUGGAUUUAUUAUUAUUUUUAUAUUAUAUCGUUAUUAUUGUAGUCUAGGGUAAUAAGAUGGAAAUGAUCCCAGACUUGUAUAAAAUAUUAAGUGUUUUCACUAUUAUUAAAGUCCAACAAACCCCAUUUGUAGCUUAAAGACCACCUAGAAAGUAAACUGCAAAAAUAUGGAAUAUAAAUACCUCUGAAAAAUAAACGUUUUUUUUUUUAAUUACCAAAAUUUAUUGAAUAACCAAUUUUUUGUUUUUCCAUUUUUUAAGAAUCCAGAUGUGUAUUUUAUAAUAAAAACUUUUGAUACAAGAA